UUGGUUAAGCUAAUAAGAGCGCAGGGUGGAUGCCUUGGCACUAAGAGCCGAUGAAAGACGUGAUAAGCUGCGAAAAGCUUCGGGGAGGAGCAAAUAUCCAUUGAUCCGGAGAUAUCUGAAUGGGGAAACCCGGCUGAGAAGACCUCAGUCAUCCAUACGCCAAUACAUAACGUAUGGAAGGGAACCCGCUGAACUGAAACAUCUAAGUAGGCGGAGGAAGAGAAAGAAACAUCGAUUCCCAAAGUAGCGGCGAGCGAAAUGGGAAGAGCCCAAACCAGAGUGCGUGCACUCUGGGGUUACGGACUGCAUAAGUGAGCUGAUUCGUUAAUGGAACGGUCCUGGAAAGACCGGCCAGAGAGAGUGAAAGCCUCGUACAUGAAAACGAUAGGCAGCGGCAGGAUCCAGAGUACCGCGAGACACGUGGAACCUUGCGGGAAUUCGGGGGGACCACCCCCCAAGGCUAAAUACUCCUUAGUGACCGAUAGCGCAUAGUACUGUGAAGGAAAGGUGAAAAGGACCCCGGGAGGGGAGUGAAAGAGAACCUGAAACCCUGUGUUUACAAGCUGUGGAAGCACGUUAAGGUGCAACCGCGUACUUUUUGUAGAACGGUCCGGCGAGUUGCGGAUGCUGGCGAGGUUAAGGAGUAAAGCUCCGGAGCCGAAGCGAGAGCGAGUCUUAAUAGGGCGUAAAGUCAGCAUGUGCAGACCCGAAACCGGGUGACCUAUCCAUGUCCAGGUUGAAGUUCCCGUAAAAGGGAAUGGAGGACCGAACGCACAUCCGUUGAAAAGGGUGGCGAUGAGGUGUGGAUAGGGGAGAAAUUCCAAUCGAACCCGGAGAUAGCUGGUUCUCCUCGAAAUAGCUUUAGGGCUAGCCUCGUAUUAGUUUAGCGGAGGUAGAGCACUGAAUUUCCUAGGGGGCGUCAAAGUCUACCGAAGAAUAUCAAACUCCGAAUGCCGCAUAAAUGAUGUACGGGAGUCAGACUGCACGAGAUAAGUUGGGUAGUCAAAAGGGAAAGAGCCCAGACCUACAGCUAAGGUCCCAAAGUGUGUGUUAAGUGGAAAAGGAUGUGGGAUUUCGAAGACAACUAGGAUGUUGGCUCAGAAGCAGCCACACAUUCAAAGAGUGCGUAAUAGCUCACUAGUCGAGAGGUCCUGCGCCGAAAAUGUCCGGGGCUAAAACACAACACCGAAGCUUAGGAAUGUAAUUAUACAUUGGUAGAGGAGCAUUCUUAAAGAGACGAAGCAGUACCGAUAAGGAGCUGUGGAUUUUUAAGAAGAGAGAAUGCCGGAAUGAGUAGCGAGAUGGAGGUGGGAAUCCUCCAGGCCGAAUAUCUAAGGUUUCCAGAGUAAAGCUGAUCUGCUCUGGGUAAGUCGGGGCCUAAGGCGAGGUCGAAAGACGUAGUCGAUGGAUAACAGGUUGAAAUUCCUGUACUGCAUAUCAUCAGAACUGUGGGGACACAGAGAGAUACCGGAACCUGGGAGUGAAGAUACCAGGGCAAGCGAGGUAGGUGCUAAGCUGGCAAAUCCGCUUAGUAAGCCGAAGACGUGAUGCGGAGCGAAUUAAAGUAGUGAAGUCCGGGAUUCGAGCUGUCGAGAAAAGCCGCUAUUGCGUGAUAUGUACCCGUACCGUAAACCGACACAGGUGGAUGAGGAGAGAAUCCUA
Molecule: ribosomal RNA, 1662 nt
Filed under: Clostridium sp. AF32-7AC
Lineage: Bacteria; Bacillati; Bacillota; Clostridia; Eubacteriales; Clostridiaceae
Description: partial 23S ribosomal RNA
Rfam family: Bacterial large subunit ribosomal RNA
Source: RNAcentral